UAAUACGUAGGGUGCGAGCGUUAAUCGGAAUUACUGGGCGUAAAGCGUGCGCAGGCGGCUCUAUAAGACAGAUGUGAAAUCCCCGGGCUUAACCUGGGAACUGCGUUUGUGACUGUAGGGCUUGAGUGCGGCAGAGGGGGGUGGAAUUCCACGUGUAGCAGUGAAAUGCGUAGAGAUGUGGAGGAACACCGAUGGCGAAGGCAGCCCCCUGGGUCGACACUGACGCUCAUGCACGAAAGCGUGGGGAGCAAACAGGAUUAGAUACCCUGGUAGUCCACGCCCUAAACGAUGCGAACUAGGUGUUGGGGAAGGAGACUUCUUUAGUACCGUAGCUAACGCGUGAAGUUCGCCGCCUGGGGAGUACGGUCGCAAGAUUAAAACUUAAAUGAAUUGACGG
Molecule: ribosomal RNA, 397 nt
Filed under: uncultured bacterium
Lineage: Bacteria
Description: bacterial SSU rRNA
Rfam family: Bacterial small subunit ribosomal RNA
Source: RNAcentral